Molecule: ribosomal RNA, 499 nt
Filed under: Hepatozoon canis
Lineage: Eukaryota; Apicomplexa; Hepatozoidae
Description: bacterial SSU rRNA
Rfam family: Eukaryotic small subunit ribosomal RNA
Source: RNAcentral
AAAUUUAAACCCUUUUUAAAGUAUCAAUUGGAGGGCAAGUCUGGUGCCAGCAGCCGCGGUAAUUCCAGCUCCAAUAGCGUAUAUUAAAAUUGUUGCAGUUAAAAAGCUCGUAGUUGAAGUUCUGCUGAAAGUAACCGGUCUGCUUUUAAUAAAAGUGGUAUCUUGGUAUGUAUUUAGCAAUGAUGUCCUUUGAAGUGUUUUUUACUUUAUUGUAAUAAAGCAUAUUCAGGACUUUUACUUUGAGAAAAUUAGAGUGUUUCUAGCAGGCUGACGCUUUGAAUACUGCAGCAUGGAAUAAUAAGAUAGGAUUUUAGUUCUACAUUAUUGGUUUUAAGAGCUAAAUUAAUGAUUGAUAGGGACAGUUGGGGGCAUUUGUAUUUAACUGUCAGAGGUGAAAUUCUUAGAUUUGUUAAAGACAAACUACUGCGAAAGCAUUUGCCAAAGAUGUUUUCAUUAAUCAAGAACGAAAGUUAGGGGAUCGAAGACGAUCAGAUACCGU